AUAUAUAUAUGUAUAUAUAUAUAUGUAUGUAUGUAUAUACAUACAUAUACAUAUAUAUAUGUAUAUACAUACAUAUAUAUAUAUGUAUAUAUAUAUAUAUAUAUACAUAUAUAUAUACUGUAUGUACUGUCUAAUAAUGUCACAUUGAAUCAGAUAACAGUCGUAGGAGACAUUUUACUGCACAAUAAGUACUUUUACUACAUAAUGUACAUGGUGCUGCUAAAAUAAGCAUUGUGUACUUAUGCAAGUACUUAAGUACAUAAUGCAAGAACAGAAAUAUCCAGAACUCCUGGUACAAAAACCCCAAACAGUUUAUCAGGAGAGAAGUCAAGCAGAGUGAAUGUGAAUGGUGACUACCUUAUCUACUACCUGUUUCAUGACUACAACUCACAUGCUAGGACAGAUGGACACAUGCUAGGACAGAUGGACACAUGCUAGGACAGACGGUUUCCACGUGAAAAACACUAAUAAAACAACUUUUCUUUGUA
Long non-coding RNA from Sebastes umbrosus (honeycomb rockfish), 488 nucleotides. RefSeq lists it as uncharacterized. NCBI's taxonomy places the organism in Eukaryota, Metazoa, Chordata, Actinopteri, Perciformes, Sebastidae. The transcript is spliced from 2 exons. The record is from RefSeq and is a predicted model, not a curated record.